RNAcentral lists this ribosomal RNA (242 nucleotides) under uncultured bacterium. RNAcentral's name for it is "partial 16S ribosomal RNA". It matches the Rfam family "Bacterial small subunit ribosomal RNA", at positions 15 to 249 of the family's 1533-position model. The record is from RNAcentral.
GAUCCUGGCUCAGGACGAACGCUGGCGGCGUGCCUAACACAUGCAAGUCGAACGGAGUUGAAAGGAGCUUGUCUUUUUUCAACUCAGUGGCGGACGGGUGAGUAACGCGUGAGUAACCUGCCUUUCAGAGGGGGAUAACGUUCUGAAAAGAACGCUAAUACCGCAUAAGAUUGUAGCUUCGCAUGGAGCAGCAAUCAAAGGAGCAAUCCGCUGAAAGAUGGACUCGCGUCCGAUUAGAUAGG